This 240-nucleotide ribosomal RNA is filed under the name Salmonella enterica subsp. enterica serovar Infantis. Its description in RNAcentral is "partial 16S ribosomal RNA". It matches the Rfam family "Bacterial small subunit ribosomal RNA", at positions 1 to 237 of the family's 1533-position model. RNAcentral also lists the same sequence under 18 other names. The record is from RNAcentral. Lineage: Bacteria; Pseudomonadati; Pseudomonadota; Gammaproteobacteria; Enterobacterales; Enterobacteriaceae.
AAAUUGAAGAGUUUGAUCAUGGCUCAGAUUGAACGCUGGCGGCAGGCCUAACACAUGCAAGUCGAACGGUAACAGGAAGCAGCUUGCUGCUUCGCUGACGAGUGGCGGACGGGUGAGUAAUGUCUGGGAAACUGCCUGAUGGAGGGGGAUAACUACUGGAAACGGUGGCUAAUACCGCAUAACGUCGCAAGACCAAAGAGGGGGACCUUCGGGCCUCUUGCCAUCAGAUGUGCCCAGAUG